UUCUUAUCCAGAGAGGUGGAGGGACUGGCCCUUUGAAGCCUCGGCAGCGGUCUUUUUUUAAAGAACUGUGCCAAUUCCAGAAAGCAAUUGCUUGAAGAUAAGAA
Molecule: non-coding RNA, 104 nt
Filed under: Heyndrickxia coagulans
Lineage: Bacteria; Bacillati; Bacillota; Bacilli; Caryophanales; Bacillaceae
Description: Bacillus coagulans SAM-I sequence
Rfam family: SAM riboswitch aptamer (S box leader)
About the family: The SAM riboswitch is found upstream of a number of genes which code for proteins involved in methionine or cysteine biosynthesis in Gram-positive bacteria. The SAM riboswitch acts at the level of transcription termination control.
Source: RNAcentral